Molecule: ribosomal RNA, 253 nt
Filed under: uncultured bacterium
Lineage: Bacteria
Description: partial 16S ribosomal RNA
Rfam family: Bacterial small subunit ribosomal RNA
Source: RNAcentral
GACGUAGGAUGCGAGCGUUGUCCGGAUUUAUUGGGCGUAAAGAGUUCGUAGGCGGUUCGUUAAGUCUGAUGUUAAAGACUGGGGCUCAACCCUGGGAGUGCAUUGGAUACUGGCGGACUGGAGUGCAGUAGAGGCAAGCGGAAUUCCAGGUGUAGCGGUGAAAUGCGUAGAUAUCUGGAAGAACACCGGUGGCGCAAGCGGCUCACUGGACCGGUACUGACGCUGAUGCGCGAAAGCGUGGGGAGCAAACGGG